AAAGGGUGCGUAGGCGGCCUGUUAAGUCAGGGGUGAAAGACGGUAGCUCAACUAUCGCAGUGCCCUUGAUACUGAUGGGCUUGAAUUGACUAGAGGUAGGCGGAAUGUGACAAGUAGCGGUGAAAUGCAUAGAUAUGUCACAGAACACCGAUUGCGAAGGCAGCUUACUAUGGUCUUAUUGACGCUGAGGCACGAAAGCGUGGGGAUCAAACAGGAUUAGAUACCCCGGU
RNAcentral lists this ribosomal RNA (230 nucleotides) under uncultured bacterium. Its description in RNAcentral is "partial 16S ribosomal RNA". It matches the Rfam family "Bacterial small subunit ribosomal RNA", at positions 562 to 791 of the family's 1533-position model. The record is from RNAcentral.